This 800-nucleotide ribosomal RNA is filed under the name Bacillus subtilis. RNAcentral's name for it is "bacterial SSU rRNA". It matches the Rfam family "Bacterial small subunit ribosomal RNA", at positions 64 to 926 of the family's 1533-position model. Lineage: Bacteria; Bacillati; Bacillota; Bacilli; Caryophanales; Bacillaceae. The record is from RNAcentral.
GAGCGGACAGAUGGGAGCUUGCUCCCUGAUGUUAGCGGCGGACGGGUGAGUAACACGUGGGUAACCUGCCUGUAAGACUGGGAUAACUCCGGGAAACCGGGGCUAAUACCGGAUGCUUGUUUGAACCGCAUGGUUCAAAAAAGGUGGCUUCGGCUACCACUUACAGAUGGACCCGCCAUUAGCUAGUUGGUAGGUAACGGCUCACCAAGGCAACGAUGCGUAGCCGACCUGGUGAUCGGCCACACUGGGACUGAGACACGGCCCAGACUCCUACGGGAGGCAGCAGUAGGGAAUCUUCCGCAGAAAGUCUGACGGAGCAACGCCGCGUGAGUGAUGAAGGUUUUCGGAUCGUCUGUUGUUAGGGAAGAACAAGUACCGUUCGAAUAGGGCGGUACCUUGACCUAACCAGAAAGCCACGGCUAACUACGUGCCAGCAGCCGCGGUAAUACGUAGGUGGCAAGCGUUGUCCGGAAUUAUUGGGCGUAAAGGGCUCGCUUCUUAAGUCUGAUGUGAAAGCAACCGGGGAGGGUCAUUGGAAACUGGGGAACUUGAGUGCAGAAGAGGAGAGUGGAAUUCCACGUGUAGCGGUGAAAUGCGUAGAGAUGUGGAGGAACACCAGUGGCGAAGGCGACUCUCUGGUCUGUAACUGACGCGCGUGGGGAGCGAACAGAUAGUAGUCCACGCCGUAAACGAUGAGUGCUAAGUGUUAGGGGUUUCCGCCCCUUAGUGCUGCAGCUAACGCAUUAAGCACUCCGCCUGGGGAGUACGGUCGCAAGAAAGGAAUUGACGGGGCCCCGGUG